UUGCACAGUGACUUAGGGCCAGCUGGGCCUCCUCUCCAGAGUGGCGUCUUUGAAGUUCCGCAAUCGGCACAGGUCUUCUUCUGCUGAUGUUCUCCUUCGGUUGAUCUGCUACUCAUAUCCUCAUUCUCUGAUCCUUUUUCACUUGGAUCCAGCAUUUCAAUGAACUACACUUGAGAUCUAAAAGAAACCCAGGUGAGAAAAGUAGAUAAGCUGAAGUGGGAAGUGAACGAAGAUGGUGAUUGAGAUAUAAUAAUAUCAGAAAGUCAAGCUGCUAAAGCACUAAAAGCUCUAAUUAAUGAUUGAAACAGAGAGCUGCUGACGGACAGGGAUCUAAGAAAUUUGCGGCUAUAAGCAAGAGAUCAAGUAAACAAAUCAAUAGCUAAGCCCACAAGUAGAGAAGGAAAUGAUCAAAGACUCUGCGAGAGAAAGAGAGA
This 434-nucleotide unclassified non-coding RNA is filed under the name Hevea brasiliensis (rubber tree). Lineage: Eukaryota; Viridiplantae; Streptophyta; Magnoliopsida; Malpighiales; Euphorbiaceae. The record is from RNAcentral.